UGACAUGUCAAAAAUGUGUAUGUUGGGUUGCGGAGUGUAAAUGUGCAGGUUAUAUUUAGUUAUGUUUACCCCACUUUCACUCGUCGCAAGAUAUCAAAUAUUCACGAUUAAUGCGCCGAAAACGAGCGAUAAGACGUCGUCGGCAUGAAUCUCCAGUCGCUUUUUCGUGACUUUAACCCUAGUAAGUUCAUUGUACACACCUGCUUGUUGAUUUUCACCGCAUUAUUCGCGCUGCGUCUCGACGAUCACCUACAAUGGUCAUACUGGUGCGUGUUUGCACCAAUUUGGGUGUGGAAAUCAUUCGUGGUGCUUGGAGCAACAGUUGGGAGCUAUGUCUGGUGGAGAUAUCCACAUUUCAGAUUGGAAGGUGAAGCAUACAUACACUACAAAUCAAUGCUGAUAUCAUUGGCUCUGCAUCUGAUUCUCCUCAUGUUUGAGUUGUUGGUGUGUGACAAGCUGGAAUCGGGCAGACAUUUGUGGAUUUUGGUGUUUAUUCCGCUGAUUUUCAUCUCGAUUGUUAGCAUUGCAGUGUGUAUCUGGGCUGUAAAGCAUGACAGAUCAUUUGAGUUGGAGUUGUUUUGUGCUGUCAAUGUGCUGCAGUUCAUAUUCCUAGCUUUAAGACUCGACGGGUUCAUCUCGUGGUCGUGGGAGGUGGUGUUCGUGCCGUUGUGGAUCGUCAUGUGCCUUUCGUUAGUCGGCGUUUUGUAUACAAUCAUUUUUGCGGGUAUUUUACUGCGUACGCCCGAAGUUACAGCGCAGCAGCGUCGCGCUAGCUUUCAAUCAGCACUGGGGUAUACUUUUUUGGUUAUUCCUAUACUGAUUUUUCAAGUGCUGCUGGCGAAUAAACUCGACGAAGAAAUCAAAAUGGCGUUCAUCGUGGUUGUCAGUCCGCUGUUCGUCUCCUUCGUAACGCUAAUCCUGAUGUCGUUCAGUGCCAAAGGCGGAAAUAAAUGGUGGUUCGGCAUGCGUAAAGAUUUCUGCUCGUUUGUGCUCGGCGCAUGCCCGCUGCUGCAGGAGUACGCCAACAUUGCGUACAAUACGGACAGGCGACGCGCGUCCGCCGGCGUCGAGCUGCAGUCCGCCGACAAGCAGGAUAUGCGCAUCAAAAAGGCGGACAUGCUCAAACCGGUCCUGCUGAUCGUCUCAAUCGAAAUGCCCGACUGAUGCCGGGCGCGACUUAAAUGUAAACAUGAUCUCUCAGUGUCGAAGUUUGUUUCCACACUGCCUCUCCGAAUCCGAUAAAUAUCAAUUUGUAUGAUGGCGAUCUACGGCCUACGUAUCCAAAACCAGCUGAAAUGGUGGCGCUGGCGUAUUCAAAAUGCAUACGUUCAACCCGUGGUGCACUUGUUUCAAAAAACGCCAAACAACACGCUGGCCAUUUUUAAUUUUCAUCCGCAACAUGUGCAUCAAACCGCAUUAAUUCCAGCCGGGAGUGAGCGGUAUGUGAGUUUGUUGAUUCGACGGCUCUCGGAGGAAAUUCCUGCUGCGCUGCGGAAAUGUAAGUCACA
Dalotia coriaria is the source of this 1508-nucleotide RNA transcript. It is a transcript of the gene named transmembrane protein 185B, with no coding region annotated. The record is from RefSeq and is a predicted model, not a curated record. NCBI's taxonomy places the organism in Eukaryota, Metazoa, Arthropoda, Insecta, Coleoptera, Staphylinidae. The transcript is spliced from 8 exons.